GGAAAAAGAAUGUGAGACCCCAUGCUUGGAAGGAGAGCGGAGUUAGAAGUCAAAUUUCCACACAACUCCAUCCUAGCAACAAAGAGUGUAACAGCAGGUGCACUCCCAUGCUGUGCUGUGCAAACACAUUUCUCAGUUGACGAAACCAAAGCAGCAGGAAAGACAGUUACAUUUAGAUCAGGAGAAUAGAGAUGUUCAGCCAUUCCUGUUCUCACGCCGACACCUACACCCACACAGCAUGCCAUCAGCAGCUCAUGAAUGGGCGUUAAAGGUUCUCCCACCACCCACGUGUUCAGGCUUUUCACCAAGCACGGCGGGGAGACUGAAGACUAACAGGUGUUGUCCAUCUGUGGUCUACCAUCUGCCGGAGUAGAAGGUUGUCCUAGAAUCAAGCUUUUCCUAGUCCAGUGGAGGGAAUGCAGUAAGAUUUCUGAGAAAUCAUACACCUCACUGUCUUCAUGAUGAGUUCUGAUAUUUCUUUAUACUCUAACAAGGGGAGACUCACUUCCAUAACCCAGCAGACAAUGUGAAAUGCCUUGGUUAGCCAAAA
This is a long non-coding RNA of Notolabrus celidotus (New Zealand spotty), 550 nucleotides long. RefSeq lists it as uncharacterized. The record is from RefSeq and is a predicted model, not a curated record. The transcript has 4 exons. NCBI's taxonomy places the organism in Eukaryota, Metazoa, Chordata, Actinopteri, Labriformes, Labridae.